UCCACAUUAUUAGUUCAACAUCUCCAUGUCCAUGACUUGUGAAACAUAGUCAUCAACUAAUACAUGUGCUAGUCUAAUAUUCAUGUGUGUCCUCACAUGAACUCCGACUAGGGACAACUUUAGAAUAACCAUACAAGUAAAGAGUUUCACACACAAUUCACAUAAUUGCAAAUCAAUUCAAGUAGCCUUUUAAUGGAUAUUCAAUGAACACAAUAUACAAAUCAUGGAUACAAAUGGAAUAUCAUCAUCUCUAUGAUUGCCUCUAGGGCAUACCUCCAACAGUCUCCCAC
This 290-nucleotide long non-coding RNA is filed under the name Setaria viridis. RNAcentral describes it as "long non-coding RNA (SVIR_LNC000477)". The record is from RNAcentral. Lineage: Eukaryota; Viridiplantae; Streptophyta; Magnoliopsida; Poales; Poaceae.